CCUACGGGAGGCAGCAGUGGGGAAUAUUGCACAAUGGGCGCAAGCCUGAUGCAGCCAUGCCGCGUGUAUGAAGAAGGCCUUCGGGUUGUAAAGUACUUUCAGCGGGGAGGAAGGCGAUAAGGUUAAUAACCUUGUCGAUUGACGUUACCCGCAGAAGAAGCACCGGCUAACUACGUGCCAGCAGCCGCGGUAAUA
This 195-nucleotide ribosomal RNA is filed under the name uncultured bacterium. Its description in RNAcentral is "partial 16S ribosomal RNA". It matches the Rfam family "Bacterial small subunit ribosomal RNA", at positions 338 to 525 of the family's 1533-position model. The record is from RNAcentral.